This 332-nucleotide ribosomal RNA is filed under the name uncultured bacterium. RNAcentral describes it as "bacterial SSU rRNA". It matches the Rfam family "Bacterial small subunit ribosomal RNA", at positions 568 to 898 of the family's 1533-position model. The record is from RNAcentral.
CGUGUAGGCGGCCAGAUAAGUCAGAUGUGAAAACCCUUGGCUUAACCAAGGAAGGGCAUUUGAAACUGUCUGGCUUGAGUACGGGAGGGGGAAGUGGAAUUCCCGGUGUAGAGGUGAAAUUCGUAGAUAUCGGGAGGAACACCGGUGGCGAAGGCGGCUUCCUGGACCGAUACUGACGCUGAGACGCGAAAGCGUGGGGAGCAAACAGGAUUAGAUACCCUGGUAGUCCACGCCGUAAACUUUGGGCACUUGGUGUUGCGGGUAUUGACCCCUGCAGUGCCGAAGCUAACGCAUUAAGUGCCCCGCCUGGGGAGUACGGUCGCAAGGCUAAA